Long non-coding RNA from Gadus morhua (Atlantic cod), 333 nucleotides. RefSeq lists it as uncharacterized. Lineage: Eukaryota; Metazoa; Chordata; Actinopteri; Gadiformes; Gadidae. The transcript has 3 exons. The record is from RefSeq and is a predicted model, not a curated record.
CUGGUAUAACCUAAGGCCUCUCCCCCAGGUGAGGUUGACGCGACCCCCCAGGCUGUCCGACACCACCCCUCCAUGGACCGCAGACAGGCAGAUCAGCGAUGUCUUCAGUAGAAUACGGAUUAUAAACACAUGUUCAGAACGUCCUUACAGCCGGCAGGGCAGUACACGCUGAGGAGGAGCACAGAGACAGGACAACAGGAAGCCCCGACCAGAGCGGUGUCGGCCCGACCUGAAGAUCACCGACGCUUUGUUGCUGCUAACCGACAAUUUCAUCUCCGAAGCAGUGAGUCUCCCACACAGAGGCCCUGAGAACACACACACACAUGCAUGCAC